Molecule: small RNA, 188 nt
Filed under: Mycobacterium longobardum
Lineage: Bacteria; Bacillati; Actinomycetota; Actinomycetes; Mycobacteriales; Mycobacteriaceae
Description: Magnesium sequence
Rfam family: M-box riboswitch aptamer (ykoK leader)
About the family: M-box riboswitch, also know as ykoK leader is described as a metaloregulatory RNA that sense divalent metals and function as a genetic control element of genes related to divalent metal transport in bacteria.
Source: RNAcentral
CAAGCACCUCGUUAGGUGAGGCGUCUGCAUGGAUAUAGGCCACUGACCCCGAACGUCGAAAGACGCCCCGGGUCAGGACAGCUCCUCCCGGAUUAAGGGUUGAGCCCAAGUGGCUUCCGGAGCCUGCAUGGUUUUCGCAGGUCAGGACACGCCGUGCAGUGCCGAAGCUCUGACGAGAGGGGUGCGGA